RNAcentral lists this ribosomal RNA (456 nucleotides) under uncultured bacterium. RNAcentral's name for it is "bacterial SSU rRNA". It matches the Rfam family "Bacterial small subunit ribosomal RNA", at positions 463 to 916 of the family's 1533-position model. The record is from RNAcentral.
GAAGUCCUGACGGUACCCACGGAGGAAGGCCCGGCUAACUACGUGCCAGCAGCCGCGGUAAUACGUAGGGGUCGAGCGUUGUCCGGAGUUACUGGGCGUAAAGCGCGUGCAGGUGGCUCAUCACGCCCGGCGUGAAAGCCCCCGGCUUAACCGGGGAGGGUCGUCGGGGACGGGUGAGCUUGAGGGUCGCAGGGGCUGGUGGAAUUCCCGGUGUAGUGGUGAAAUGCGUAGAGAUCGGGAGGAACACCCGUGGCGAAGGCGGCCAGCUGGGCGAGCCCUGACACUGAGACGCGAAGGCGUGGGGAGCGAACGGGAUUAGAUACCCCGGUAGUCCACGCCGUAAACGUUGGGCGCUAGGUGUGGGGCUCAUUCCACGAGUUCCGUGCCGCAGCAAACGCAUUAAGCGCCCCGCCUGGGGAGUACGGCCGCAAGGAUAAAACUCAAAGGAAUUGACGG